UACGGAGGGGGCUAGCGUUGUUCGGAAUUACUGGGCGUAAAGCGCGCGUAGGCGGCUUUGUAAGUUAGAGGUGAAAGCCCGGAGCUCAACUCCGGAACUGCCUUUAAGACUGCAUCGCUAGAACGAUGGAGAGGUAAGUGGAAUUCCGAGUGUAGAGGUGAAAUUCGUAGAUAUUCGGAAGAACACCAGUGGCGAAGGCGACUUACUGGACAUCUGUUGACGCUGAGGUGCGAAAGCGUGGGGAGCGAACAGG
Molecule: ribosomal RNA, 253 nt
Filed under: uncultured bacterium
Lineage: Bacteria
Description: partial 16S ribosomal RNA
Rfam family: Bacterial small subunit ribosomal RNA
Source: RNAcentral